AACUGGGAACAGGAAUUCGAUCUCCCCCAGUUAUUAUUCUCUCAUUCAUCCGCUCAUGCAGUGCUUGUUGAAUGUGAACCAUGUGCCAGGCAUGGUUGCAGGUGCCGAGGCUCAAAAGAUGGACAGGACAAUUUCCCUGCCUCGGGACACUUGCAGUGCAGUGAGAGAGCCAAUGAGCAGUGCCUUACAGCCCAGAGUGCUAAAUGCUGCGACCGGAGUGGGCGCCGCGUCCAUGGGGACACAAAGAAAGGGUACCGGAGCGGAUUCUGUUGCUCCCCGACUCCCAGCACCCACACUGCCUUCCAGGGAAAGAUAUCCAGUCGCGGUGGAUACUUCUAGACUCAAGAGAUGGAGGCAGAAGGAAUUGGACAGAAGCUCCCGAAGAAUGUGCUGGUGCUCAGUUCCAUGCCUUCAGGCGUGGCAGGAGGUUGAGCAGACACCCCAUCCACCUGAUCCCUCACCACAGUCUAGAAACACCUAAUUUGUACCGUUACCUGAGUGAGAUGUAUAGCUUUAUUGUGGGAAGCCACUAAAGUUUGGGCAGUUACUACAGACCGAAGCGAUUCACGAAUAAACGAUGCAAGCCUCGGAA
Molecule: long non-coding RNA, 592 nt
Organism: Prionailurus viverrinus (fishing cat)
Lineage: Eukaryota; Metazoa; Chordata; Mammalia; Carnivora; Felidae
Exons: 2
Source: RefSeq, a predicted model, not a curated record